UUAGGUUUAAUUAGCCAAUUUUAUUAUGAUAAAUUGGCUAAUUAAACAUAAAGGGAAUAAAUGGAUGGUUAUAAAAAUGAAUGACUAUUUUAAUAAGGAAAAUGGGAAAGAUGAGGAUGUGAAAAGUGGGGGGCCGGUUUUGGCUAUUAAUUGGGUGAUUUAAUUGACUAUUAAGGAUGAUUUUAGGAGAUAUGGUAGACGUAUAUUAUUUAGCUAAUUGAUUAGCUAAAUAAUGAAAUAGAAAAUACUAGGUCUUGGGAAAUACCUUAUAGAAAGGAUUUUGAUGAAAGAGGUUUUUAAUUGUUACCUUUUUUGGGUACUUUUGACUUGAUUGAAAGAUGAUUGUCCACUGCUCGCGCGUAGGAAUCCUUGUAUGCCUCGAGGGUAUUUUUGUCAUCUUUUGUCCAAAAGUCCACGUGUCGCCUAGUGAAUAUAUUUGGCUCCACAAAUGCCCCCACACCUGUUGAGCUGCUUGCAGAAAAGGGCAAUAGGUGUAGAGAUUUUCUUGCUUUAGGAAACUUAAGACUGCUUCCUAUUUUGAUGUUGAUUCUCUCUUUAAAUGGAAAUUAGAUACUUCUAGGAAAAAAAAAAAAUUUCUCUCAAAGCCUAUUUAAGUCCACCUUAAGUGGGUUAUUAAAUCAACUUUGGAGAGCGAUUUAUUCUACCCUACAAGAGAGAGAUAGCUUAGAGGAUAUUUGUUCCCCCUCCUCUAGCAAUCUUCUACAUCUUGCCCGUGCAAAGGACCGUCUUUCGUUGCUUUCUUCGUCUUCUUCGUGCCGCACCGAUGUAAGAAAACUUUAAUUUUUCUUGCCUUAUUCUUGGAUAGUGCUAUUGCGGGGUAGUCGUCGGGGUGGUGCGGCACAUCGUCUGGCAGGGGCCAAGAGCUGGCUCGGCAUGGGCUGAGGAGAUGUCGUGGCAGGGACCACUACUUGGGUAGCUUGGCUUGGCUUGAGCCAAGGGCAGCUUAUGCAGCUGGGGUCGAGGAUUGUGGCUCUAGGGCGCAUGGCUCAUGUCCUUUGGGCUCUUGGACCUGACUCAGGCCAGGCUGGCGAUUGAGAGAAAUAAGGAGAUUGCGGGUCUCAUGGGCUGCUGGAAUGUUGGGCAUGCAGGCCUCCUGCCUGCUGGAAUGCUGGGUUGAGCUCCCCUGCUGAGUACCAUGAGUGUCGUUGGCUGCUUAGUCCUCUUUGCUGAAAGAAAGGUGGGCUGCUCUGGAAAGAUGAGGUAAAGAGGAUCAAGGCGGAUGCAUUGGCUCGUCUGAUCGCUGUCGUGGAGCUUACUAUGAAUGAAGAUGGAAAGAAGAGAUCUUCCCCGCCUGCUCAUGAGAUGCCAGUUAAGAAAAAACUGAAGACUUCUUCUGCUGCUCAUGAGGGUCAGCUUGCUACCGAGAGGUAUGUGAUUGACAUGACUUCUUCCAAUGAGAAGAAAAAUAAGGCUGCUAGAUCUGAGCAUGUGGCGUCUUCCAUGUUGAGAAUGGCUAGUACAAUUGUGGAUAAGAUUGCUCAGCGUAAAGGUUUUAUCAUGCCCCCAGUGCCGAAGUCUGUACCAGGACGUUCUUUGGGAGCCAAGUCCGGUUCACCUUUGUAGAGACUUGCUAUUAUGAAGAGUGGUAAGGUGGACUCUGCUGCUAAAGUGGCGCCAAAGCCUGCUCCCUUUGCUGCUGAGAUUGAUUCGCCUCAGAUUCAAGAUCUUAAGCUUGCAAUUUCUGAGCUUCGUUUCGCUGCUUAUGCUAAGAAGGGAGUGGAUGAGCUGCAGCGCGUCCGUGUUAGUCUGCUUAAGAAGAAUGAGCAGCUGAAGGGUGAGAAGGAUAAGCUUGAGGUUUUAAGACAUUCUCUAUUUCUCCGGAAGACUUGCUUGCUUUUACUUUUAAGGCUUCCAUUGGUGAAGUAGUUGGAGAAGUUAGUGCCCAGAUUGGGGCAGCCGGGGGUGAAGCGCUGGAUGAUGCCGCUGCUAAGAGCGUUACGGCUGUUGAAGGUGUGGCGACCGAGUAGUCGUGGGAUGUCCAAGCUGCUGUAGUGUAGUAUUUUAGGUAGCCUUUAGGAUUUUCUUUGUUUUUCCUUGUAGCUCUUGUUUUGCUUGAACUCCUUCGGCCUUUGCUAGUUGUUUAUAAACAUGUUUUCCUUCGUUUUUCUUCAUCUUCACUUCUUUUGUUCAUGCCCUAACCUUUAGACUUGAUAGACCAGUGGCAGGCAUGCUACUUUUUUAUAAGCAGACAAACUCGCGUAGCCUAUGCAGCCGUAGGUGUUGGUGUAGAACUUUGCAAAGUUGUUAGCCAUAGGGUUGGCAGCCGGAUCCCUUACUUACAGAAGCAGACAAGUCCGCGUAACCACUAGGCUGUUAACCUUGACUUUCUUCAAUUCCGUAGGUUGCGUAGCAAGUAUCACAACACUUUAGGACUUGGUGUAGGUUGUUCCGUGCUUGGCAGAGGUGAAGCUUAUCGACUACGUAGCAUGUCGGCAGUGGAUAAAACUUCGUAUAUGUGCGCUAGCUUGUUUAACCUUUCACAAGAAUGUGCGGUUGUAUAAGUCUAGUGCGGCUUUACUGCUCGAAGGGCAAGGCGUAGGCAGUCUUCCGAAAUCCGUAGGCUACCUUAGUGCACUCGGUAGCAGCUUUAGGAUUCCAGGGCAGCCGUCCAUUGGAUGUACUGCGUAAUGUGCCCUCUCCGUCUCUAGGGCCCGGUUCCCCACGGAUUAGGCCAAGAGACCCAAAAUCCUUCAGUUAGCUAAGCCUUGAAAAAAACCAUUGCGGCUACUUCUAGGAAUCCCGGUGCAAGCCAUCGUGCAUCUAGUUAUACUAGGGCAGCCAGGCUCAUCCACGUCUGGAUAUUCGGAGUGUAAAGUUUAUCCUCCCGUCUUGGAGAGCUGACUCAUAUGGGUGUCGGAGAAUUGGUUUACCCUAUCGCACUGGAGAGCAUGGUUGGUCUCUCGGGGGGCGCAAUUCCUGCGAUGAGUCCCUAAGAAGGGCGCAGUCUUCUUUUGAAGUGCAGGAGUGAUUAGUUGUUGUAAGCAUGCAGCCAAGCCAAGUUGUGAUUACUUCUAAAUUCCUCAUUGAAAAACGAGUGAAACGAACGAGAACUUUAGCUGUAAGGUAAGAAUUGCAUAACAACUGGAUAGUCCUCAUCUUGUGAGGUGGUGCCCGUCAAGCUUAUUGAGUCUUCGGGUUUUGAUGAAGUGGGAGGUCACACAUGGUACUUCUUCAGAUUGUAGGCCAUCCAUUGCUUUUCAAUCUUUUUGCCGCUUCAUGGUGGCGAGGGUGUAAUUACUCUUGCCCCCUACUCUGCUGAUCUUGUACGGACCUUCCCAGAUGGGAUCCAUCUUUUUGGAGCCUUCUCUGCCAGCAGUGAUGAAGGCUUUUCUGCGCCGUCGACAUGCAAAUGCCAGAAGUCUCCAUCGGGUGGAGUAGGCGCAGCUAGAGUGUGGUCGGCUACUUCUGAGGCAUCGUUGGGCCGCUCUGUUGCGUCACAUAGGCUCGGCGUGAAGGCGCAGUAGGGAGCUGUGGAGAUGGGGCCAUGUCAUACGCAGCAAGAGAUGUUCAACUGCCGGUAUUGGGCCACUCUAGAGUUGAAUCAUUGAGCAAGGGUCGGCUAGGGCCGUGUGAUGCGCAGCAAGAAAUGGUACUCAACUGCCGGUACAUGUUGCUCCUAUGUAAAAUCUUUUAGGGUGAUGAGGACAAAACUUGCUUUCGAGUGUGUCCUUCCAGUGUUGCGUUCGUCAAAAAACUUUACAUCCGCCAGGGUCUACGCCUUUAUCGUUGCGCGUCUGGAUUGGGCAGAAUAGUACGUCAUGAGGAUGAUUGCAUGCAUUUGAAAGUAAAACUUGUGCUUCUGGGUUGCAACAACUAUCGCCAAAGUUAGCUUUUGAAUUUUUAAUAACAUCGAUGAGAGCUUUUGAACUGUAGAAUACAGGUAGUCGGGCCCCCAUCUCUUCUCGCAUGAUGGUAGAGCUUAUUGCUACUUUAGAUACUGUCAAACAUGUGAAUAAGUCCUCCGCUGCUUCUAGGGAGGUGAUGUCGGGUACUUCUUCAAGUCCUUGAAUGUGCAUUGGCGAGCCUCAUCCCAAAGUGCAUACUUCUCUGCCAAAGCAAAAGAGUCUGCCAUAGUUAGAUCUUCUUUCAUGAUCAAUUUUCUGAAUAGCGGGUGGUCUGCUGGAAGUCCUUUUUGGAAGGUUGCUCUAGCUAUCGAGUCGUUGCAUCCAACUAUUUUUGCCUUCUCUACUUUGAACCUCCUCACAUAGUCGCGAAGCGACUCCUUUGGGUUCUUCUUAACGUUAAACAAAUGAUCAGACUUCUUUUUGAUCGAGCGAUAGGAUGAAUAUUCUUUGGUAAAAACCAAAGAAAGUUCGUAGAAAUUCCGGAUGGAUUGUGGCGGCAGGGUGUAGAACCAAUCUUGCGCCUCGCCUUGUAGAGUGGUGGCGAAUAUCUUGCACAUGAGAUCAUCGUUGUUUCGAUAAAGGAUCAUUGCGCUUCGGUAGCGCUUUAAGUGUCUUUCUGGGUCUUCAUCCCCUUUGAAAGAUGUGAAAUGUGGCAUGCUGAACUCUCGUGGAGGCUCUGCCUGCUCGAUCUCGUCCGUGAAGGGUGACCUGCUUAUGUUGGUCAUGUUCCGUCGUAGUGCCUCUUCGGUGACCUCGUUGCGUUGGAAAUCAUGCAAUCGCUUGGUCAAAAGUUUCUCUACUUCUUCCUGAAUUUGCCUUUGUUGGGGUAGCGGAGCUCUCGGCUUCCCCCAGCCAUGACUUGCUGGUCUAGGCUGCUCUUCCAUGUGUUUGGCUCGUCUAUGCCGCAGAUGCAGUGCAUGUGGUGCGUUCCUAGCAGGCGAGCGAGUUCUUCGCAGGCUGCUGGUUGAACUUGAGCUGGAUUGAGUGACUGCUUCUCUCCGUCUAUCGUGCUGCCUACUCUGAUGUGAGGUGGAUGAUGCUCCUUGUGGGCUUAGCCGCGAAUGAACACUUUGUCCGGAAGGUUGCUCAGGUUGACUAUCGAAGCGUGACCCCAAUCGUGAAUGUAUGCUCAUCCGUGGGCCUAGUCGAGAGUACACGCUCCUCCGCGCGCUAAGACGGGAGUAUACGCUAUCUCGGGGGCCCAAUCGGGAAUGUACACUGCCUGAACGUUCGGCUCGUGGCUGGUCGAAUGGCUGCUUGCCGGGACGUUGCUGGAAAGGUUCAUCUGCCCUUGUCCUACUUCGGGAUACCUCGUCCGGGGCACGUUGGAUCCCGAUGCGUUGCAAAAGUUGAUUCACCAAAGUCGUCAGUUGUGCAAGGGCGCUCGUCAACUCUAUGACUUGUCGAGACAAGUGUUGUUCGCCAUUUGGAUUGGAAGAGCUUGGAAGGAAUACGCCUCAUUGGGCAGUGGAAAUGUGGUAGACUCUGGGCGUGAGAUUUGAAUUGGGAAAUGUCAAAUCCGUGAAAAAAUGUGGUGAGAAUGCCCCCGGCUCGAUGGUAGGUCCGAAUGGUUGAGAUAGUCUUGGGUCGACUUGGGCUGCUUGGAAAGCCACUGGAGCAGGAUGGGCCGUGAGAGUGGGCUGCUCGUCGGGAGCAGGCUGGGUCAUGAGAGCAGACUGCUCGGCAGGAGCAGGUUGGGCAGUGAGAGUGGGCUGCUCGACGAAAGCAGGCUGGACCAUGGGAGUGAGCUGCUCGUCGGGAGCAGGCUGGGUCACGAGAGCAGGCUGCUUGGCAGGAGCAGGCUGGGCCACAGGAGUGGGCUGCUCCACGGAAGCAGGCUGGACCACUGAAGUGGGCUGCUCGUCGGGAGCAGGCUGGGUCACGAGAGUAGGCUGCUUGGCAGGAGCAGGCUGGGCCACGGGAGUGGGCUGCUCGACGGAAGCAGGCUGGACCACAGGAGUGGGUUGCUUGGCAGGAGUAGGCUGGGCCACGGGAGUGGGCUGCUCGACGGAAACAGGCUGGACCACGGGAGUGGGCUACUCGACGAAAGCAGGCUAGACCACGGGAGUGGGCUGCUCAUCGGGAGCAGGCUAGGUCACGAGAACAGGCUGCUUGGCAGGAGCAGGCUGGGCCACAGGAGUGGGCUGCUCCACGGAAGCAGGCUGGACCACUGGAGUGGGUUGCUCGUCGGGAGCAGGCUGGGUCACGAGAGCAGGCUGCUUGGCAGGAGCAGGCUGGGCCACGGGAGUGGGCUGCUCGACGGAAGUAGGCUGGACUACAGGAGUGGGCUGCUUGGUAGGAGUAGGCUGGGCCACGGGUGUGGGCUGCUCGACGGAAGCAGGCUGGACCACGGGAGUGGGCUACUCGACGAAAGCAAGCUGGACCACGGGAGUGGGCUGCUCAUCGGGAGCAGGCUGGGUCACGAGAACAGGCUGCUUGGCAGGAGCAGGCUGGGCCACGAGAGUGGACUGCUCGACGGAAGCAGGCUGCUCAAUGCGCUGUGCAUGUGAAUGCGAGGCUUGGGCUUGGGUCCACGUAAACUUGGAUGGCACGGCUUGGGUCGUGGUCUUGGUACCGUAAGCCUUGGAUGGCACGGCUCGGGCCGUGGUGAAAGCUCCAUGGACCUCGCCACGAAUGGCUACCGAAGUAGCCACCGCGGUGGUUCCCAUGGUGGCCGUGGUGAAGGCACCAUGGACCUCGCCGUGGGUGGCUACCGAGGUAGCCACCGCGGUGGUUCCCAUGGUGGAAACUCGUGGUGGUGAUGCCGCUCCCCUUAUUGUCGCAUUUUGCCUCACGGAUCUCCGCACUCCCAUUUCUUGAACACUAGAAUUUUCACUUAUGAAAUUUUCUAAAUUUCUAGCCAUUAUAUUUUGCUUAUACGUUUUAUCAAAGAACCUUUGCAAGUAAAAAAUUCUAAUAAUAAGAACGUAUGAAAAAUAUUCAAAUGGACUAGAAAAUAAAGAAAAAACCUUUUUUGUGCGAGAGUCUUCUACGAGUAUGGAUUUUAACUCUCAAUGAAAGCACCAAUUUGUGGAUGCAAAUUUCUUCCUCCUCGAUCUUGGACGAUUUUGCACCUACAAAACAAUUAACACCUACAAAACAAUUAACACCUUAGGUUAAGGCCAAGAGCCUCAUGCGCCCACGAUGAAUGGGGGGGCUUUGACCGAAGAACCUCCGAUGCCAAAGUUAGAAUUUAGAGAGAAAUAGUGUUUAGAGAAUUUUGGGAUUUUUGCCAAAGUGUUGGAAUUAGCUUUUUGGUGAGAAUGAGAGUAUAUUUAUAGGGAUAGGAGGUGGCUAGGGUUUUUAGGUUUAAUUUAGGUUUAAUUAGCCAAUUUUAUUAUGAUAAAUUGGCUAAUUAAACAUAAAGGGAAUAAAUGGAUGGUUUUAAAAAUGAAUGACUAUUUUAAUAAGGAAAAUGGGAAAGAUGAGGAUGUGAAAAGUGGGGGGCCGGUUUUGGCUAUUAAUUGGGUGAUUUAAUUGACUAUUAAGGAUGAUUUUAGGAGAUAUGGUAGACAUAUAUUAUUUAGCUAAUUGAUUAGCUAAAUAAUGAAAUAGAAAAUACUAGGUCUUGGGAAAUACCUUAUAAAAAGGAUUUUGAUGAAAGAGGUUUUUAAUUGUUACCUUUUUUGGGUACUUUUGACUUGAUUGAAAGAUGAUUGCCCACUGCUCGCGCGUAGGAAUCCUUGUAUGCCUCG
RNAcentral lists this long non-coding RNA (7561 nucleotides) under Malus domestica (apple). Its description in RNAcentral is "long non-coding RNA (MDOM_LNC002367)". Lineage: Eukaryota; Viridiplantae; Streptophyta; Magnoliopsida; Rosales; Rosaceae. The record is from RNAcentral.